This 450-nucleotide ribosomal RNA is filed under the name uncultured bacterium. RNAcentral's name for it is "partial 16S ribosomal RNA". It matches the Rfam family "Bacterial small subunit ribosomal RNA", at positions 354 to 796 of the family's 1533-position model. The record is from RNAcentral.
GUGGGGAAUUUUGGACAAUGGGCGAAAGCCUGAUCCAGCCAUGCCGCGUGCAGGAUGAAGGCCUUCGGGUUGUAAACUGCUUUUGUACGGAACGAAAAGACUUCUUCUAAUACAGGAGGUCCAUGACGGUACCGUAAGAAUAAGCACCGGCUAACUACGUGCCAGCAGCCGCGGUAAUACGUAGGGUGCAAGCGUUAAUCGGAAUUACUGGGCGUAAAGCGUGCGCAGGCGGUUAUAUAAGACAGAUGUGAAAUCCCCGGGCUCAACCUGGGAACUGCAUUUGUGACUGUAUAGCUAGAGUACGGUAGAGGGGGAUGGAAUUCCGCGUGUAGCAGUGAAAUGCGUAGAUAUGCGGAGGAACACCGAUGGCGAAGGCAAUCCCCUGGACCUGUACUGACGCUCAUGCACGAAAGCGUGGGGAGCAAACAGGAUUAGAUACCCGGGUAGUCC